CUGGCAGCUGCUCAGGGUCCCCUUUACCCAGACCUACAGGGCUUCCGGCCUGUGCCCCCCACCUGCGGCGGGUCUGCCCCCGUUCUACAGCCAGCAUCCCCCGGGGGUGGAUCACAGCUCGGGCCCAAGGUGUUUCUUUUCCCUUGCAGGAGAACUUUCCAUCCAACACAUCAAUUAGAAAAGCCCCCCCUGGUUACUUCGAGGGGGAAAAAACCAGCCCGAUUUCUUCUGGUUCUCACCAAACGCGUUUCUGAUCCUGACCGGAUUCUUCUCACCUGUAGGAGCGAGGGGGAACCGGAACCGAAAAGGACAUUAUAGACAGAUCCGUGGGUGACCCGGGGACGAUUACGUUGAAUGCCACUUCUCUGUCUCCUCCUUUGAAAAUAAUGUGGCCCCAUAGAAACAGCAUUAUCUCUAUCGGCCUAUGAUCGGGAAUAGAAUCUGCUAACCCCCCACCCCCCAGCAUCGCGUCUCUUCCCCUCCUCCCCAGUUUGCUGAAGAAUCCCAAAUCCGUGAAUCUGGUUAAGGAAGGCCCGGGGUGCUAUUCCGUCAAACAGGGACAUGAGCAUGAGCAUGGGAGGCAUUUGGAGGUUUGCACAAACGCGAACAGACGCGGGCCGGGGAGGGGAAGCGCCCGGCCAGGCUUGGGAAUCGCUCUCGCUGGUCAAGGUUUGUUAUCAGUAAAACCCACGCGCGUUCGCCCUCGGAAUAAAGUGACUUUUAACGGGAAGGACGCUGGAAUCCCAGCUCGCUCGGAACAAAGGGGGCUGGGUUACCUUCCAGCGAGGGGAAUCUGCUGGGGCGGCUGGAAUCAACUUUCCAACCCUCCUGUCUGGCGAAUGGCUCUUCAGCCGAGCGCGGCUGCCAGGUUUCUGCAGAUGCAAAUUACCGGCGAAUUCUGCCGGAGAAGCGGCACGUGUGUUUAUAACCCACAUCGCGGGGCUUAACCGAGCACAAGAAGGACGUUUCUGUCAACCUCGGGGAGCGCAAAAAGCUCGCGCCUCGCAAGUGAAAUGUGCCGGGCAUGUCAUCGGCUGAAGCGCGGGCCUGUGACUUUGGGGAAGGAGCAACUUCGUGAUAAACACGAAUCGUCUCGGCAGCGAGCGACGGAGUCUCCGGAGCUAUAGCUGCCUUUUGUUGAAGAGGAAGAAACCCAAACCACGGCCACCUCCGAUGGAUGCAGUUCUGCACCAAUCCCGGCCAGGGAAGAGGGAUAGAAAGAAGCAUCCCUCGUUCAGAAGGGGAAAUAAAGAACAUUGGAACAUGCAGGCUUUGAAGUUAGCAUAGCUGAGAGGGUUCUGUUCUCUAAGCUGGAAUGUGACCUACACCACGGCGCGUAAGAACUGCCUAGAUGCGCGUGUGCCUGCAACGCACGGUCACGAUGCAAACUUGAGAAAACAAACACAAUCUGACCCAGGAUCUGCGUAGAGACAGUGAGGGCUCGACAGAGACAGGUUACACCUCCCCAGGCCUAGGAUGGGCUAGACUUUUCCCACCUAUGAGGAAUUGCCUGGUCAGGAAGAAAUUAAUGUCAUUGUCUUCUGCCUGCAAUGCUUUGAGUGGCUUUUGAUGACUGGCUGGCUUGGCUGUAUAACUCCAAGGCAAGGAUGAAAGUCUGGGGGAUCCAGGGAGGGAAGGAGCUACCCUACUGCACACAUGGACGCUAGAGGCCCCAGCUGUCUUGCAGAAGGAAAUUGUGCCAUUCCGCUGGCCUGACCCCAUCCCAGAGGGCUCCACCAACUGAUUCCAUCCACUUCUGGGGGUCAGGCAGCCCUGGAAGGCGACUCACUAAACAACAGAGAUUCAUGCUACGCAUCUCACGCCACCACAACUGUGCUUCUCCAGGGGCGAAGUGGCGUGAUCAGAAGAUGUGAUGUUGGAUGAGCACAAAAGCCACAAGAAGGGCCCAGUAUUUGCAAGAGGUUCCAUUUGAAGAUUUGUUUCCUUUCCAAAAUAAAAACAGUGACUAGCGUGUGGAGAGCGUUGAUGGGAGGGGAGGGUCAUUUUUUGGUAAAUGGCCCAAAACCAAACAAACGCUUGGCCAGUAGUAAGACAAGCUGUGCAUCUCCCCUCUGAGCAGAAAGCACCAAGGUAAACAGAGCCAAAUCCAUUGGGGGGGGGUUGCAUUCUGCCUCUUAAAAUCCCCCCUGUGAUUUCCACUGGCUAUAGGAUUAGUUUUCCCUUCCUGUUCUCUGGGGUUGUAUAGUUGUCAUGAAUCCCACUUGGGUCACUGGUGGGAUUUCAAACCAUAAACAGCAUUAAUGCUUAAGUGCAAAUACUAAAUCCAACAGCUGGAAGCUGGGGCAGACUGAGUCUUUUAUGUGGACUAGUCACUGGAGGGUGACAAAAGCCCCGCAGCCUACAAGCAUGGGUUACGUAGCAUUGCGGCAUGCUGCUACACAGAGCCUGUGUCUAAUUUGUGUAUCCGUUUGCCAUGUGUCCUGGGACCCUAUGGAAUGAAAGACUCUAUUGGCUGAGUAAGUUCUUACUGUCCUGGCUGCUGCUGGGUGAGAUGUGUAUUAAAAAUAUGAAUUUGA
Gopherus evgoodei (Goodes thornscrub tortoise) is the source of this 2537-nucleotide long non-coding RNA. RefSeq lists it as uncharacterized. Lineage: Eukaryota; Metazoa; Chordata; Testudines; Testudinidae. The transcript has 4 exons. The record is from RefSeq and is a predicted model, not a curated record.